Long non-coding RNA from Rhinopithecus bieti (black snub-nosed monkey), 417 nucleotides. NCBI's taxonomy places the organism in Eukaryota, Metazoa, Chordata, Mammalia, Primates, Cercopithecidae. The record is from Ensembl.
UCUUUACAGUGUCUUGUGAGAUGAGUGUGUUUAUUCCCAUUUUACAGAGAAUAUCCAUUUAUAUAAUGUCAUGAACAUAUAUCUGAUGACAUCAUUUGCCUGCAAACGUACCCAGUGAGUGGCAGAGUCAUCCUGAAGCCUGCUUUCCGGGCCCCGCCUAUAUUCUGGAAAGCUUCACAUGUGAGAUAAAUGCACUCAAAGAUUCCUCACAAGUAGCUCUUUGGAGCUUCGGAUGUGAAAUGGAUCAUUCCUCAAUCUGUAAUAGACCCUUCUGUGAAGCUCUUCAAUCAAACCAGAGAAUUCAAGGAGGGUAUACAGCAAAGCUGAGAGAAAGAGAGAAUGAGCAAGUGAUAUGUCAAAGAGCCAAAUAUGGUGAGUCAACAACCUUGAAGAGAAUGAUUCAGGUUUGGAACUCUA